ACUUUGUGGUUCAUGACUGGGGUGAAGUCGUAACAAGGUAGCGCUAGGGGAACCUGGCGCUGGAUCACCUCCUUAUACGAUGAU
This 84-nucleotide ribosomal RNA is filed under the name Vibrio parahaemolyticus. RNAcentral describes it as "partial 16S ribosomal RNA". The stretch from base 1 to 75 matches the Rfam family "Bacterial small subunit ribosomal RNA", at positions 1459 to 1533 of the family's 1533-position model. Lineage: Bacteria; Pseudomonadati; Pseudomonadota; Gammaproteobacteria; Vibrionales; Vibrionaceae. The record is from RNAcentral.